Molecule: transfer RNA, 22 nt
Filed under: Equus sp.
Lineage: Eukaryota; Metazoa; Chordata; Mammalia; Perissodactyla; Equidae
Description: partial tRNA-Phe
Source: RNAcentral
GUUAAUGUAGCUUAAUAAUAUA